Molecule: non-coding RNA, 466 nt
Organism: Pelobates cultripes (western spadefoot toad)
Lineage: Eukaryota; Metazoa; Chordata; Amphibia; Anura; Pelobatidae
Source: the annotation of a GenBank genome assembly
AUAUUACAUGCAAUCAUUAAAACAAGGAGUGUACAUAGAACAAUAUAAGACCCCUGAAAAGUAUAAACAUGCAUAUGGACUCAGUACUUGGUUUAGGCCCCUUUUGCAGCAAUUGAUGCCUCAAUGCGCCGUGGCAUAGAAGCUAUCAGCCUUUGGCACUGCUGAGGUGUUAUGGAAGACCAGGAUGCCUGUAAAUAUAGUAGAUUUUCUGUACUUUGGUGUUUUUUCACUGCACAUUGAGGUGGAAUGAUGGGCAAGAUAAAGAACUAAAUAAGCAAGUUAGUGGUGUUGUGGAGACAGGCUCAGGCACCGAGGGUAGUGGUGUUGUGGAGACCGGCUUUGAGACUAUGGUGAGGCCUAAUAGAAAGCAGUUGUUGUUGGGGGAUUCUAUCAUAAGAGAUGUGGAGCUGGACAAUAGAGGUCUUGUGAGAUGUCUUCCCAGAGCUACUGCUCACAGAGACAGGAG